Molecule: ribosomal RNA, 318 nt
Filed under: Triticum aestivum (bread wheat)
Lineage: Eukaryota; Viridiplantae; Streptophyta; Magnoliopsida; Poales; Poaceae
Description: partial small subunit ribosomal RNA
Source: RNAcentral
AUGUUUUGUUCUUUGAAUUAUAUAAAGGAUGAUCUGUUAGAUGUUUGUCAGCAUAUUCAAGAAGUGUUAACUACCUAUUUGGAACACAUGAACUUAAAUAUUCAGCCAAAAACAAUUCCUUACAAAAUUGACAGAAAAUUUGUACAGGAACACUUUGCAGACCAUAAGCAGCUUGCUGAUCCUGAUUCAUUUUUUUUCACGAUGCCUAAAAGGUACUCCCUCUUAGAGAAAUAUAAGAGUGUUUAUAGAUCACCAAGCCCGCGUUCAGGAAUUCACCAGCUCCGCAGAUUUGCGGAGCGGCGGUUUGCUCGCUCCUAG